ACUAAGCCAUGCGAGUCAUUGUAGCAAUACAAGGCAGACGGCUCAGUAACGCGUAGUCAAUCUACCCUAUGGACGGGAAUAACCUCGGGAAACUGAGAAUAAUGCCCGAUAGAACAUUAUGCCUGGAAUGGUUUAUGUCUCAAAUGAUUUAUCGCCACAGGAUGGGACUGCGGCCUAUCAGUUUGUUGGUGAGGUAAUGGCCCACCAAGACUAUUACAGGUACGGGCUCUGAGAGGAGUAGCCCGGAGAUGGGUACUGAGACACGGACCCAGGCCCUAUGGGGCGCAGCAGGCGAGAAAACUUUGCAAUGUGCGAAAGCACGACAAGGUUAAUCCGAGUGGUUUCUGCUAAAGAAACCUUUUGUCAGUCCUAGAAACACUGGUGAAUAAGGGGUGGGCAAGUUCUGGUGUCAGCCGCCGCGGUAAAACCAGCACCUCAAGUGGUCAGGAUGAUUAUUGGGCCUAAAGCAUCCGUAGCUCGUUUUGUAAGUUUUCGGUUAAAUCCAUGCGCUUAACGUAUGGGCUGCCGGGAAUACUGCAUAACUAGGAAGUGGGAGAGGUAGACGGUACUCGGUAGGAAGGGGUAAAAUCCUUUGAUCUAUUGAUGACCACCUGUGGCGAAGGCGGUCUACCAGAACACGUUCGACGGUGAGGGAUGAAAGCUGGGGGAGCAAACCGGAUUAGAUACCCGGGUAGUCCCAGCUGUAAACUAUGCAAACUCAGUGAUGCAUUGGCUUGUGGCCAAUGCAGUGCUGCAGGGAAGCCGUUAAGUUUGCCGCCUGGGAAGUACGUACGCAAGUAUGAAACUUAAAGGAAUUGGCGGGGGAGCACCACAAGGGGUGAAGCCUGCGGUUCAAUUGGAGUCAACGCCGGGAA
This 875-nucleotide ribosomal RNA is filed under the name uncultured archaeon. Its description in RNAcentral is "bacterial SSU rRNA". It matches the Rfam family "Archaeal small subunit ribosomal RNA", at positions 43 to 924 of the family's 1478-position model. The record is from RNAcentral.